AUUGAACGCUGGAGGCGUGCUUAACACAUGCAAGUCGUGCGAGAAAGGGACUUCGGUCCUGAGUAGAGCGGCGCACGGGUGAGUAACGCGUGGGUGAUCUCCCUUGGUGAUCGGGAUAACAGCGGGAAACUGCUGCUAAUACCGGAUAAUCUUCAUGUUUAACUUCAUGGGGUAAAGGUGGCCUCUGCUUGCAAGCUACCACAUCAAGAUGAGCCCGCGUGUCAUUAGCUAGUUGGUAGGGUAAUGGCCUACCAAGGCUACGAUGAGGAGCUGGUCUGAGAGGAUGACCAGACACACUGGGACUGGAACACGGCCCAGACUCCUACGGGAGGCAGCAGUGGGGAAUAUUGCGCAAUGGGCGAAAGCCUGACGCAGCGACGCCUCGUGAGGGAUGAAGGUCUUCGGAUCGUAAACCUCUGUCAAGAGGGAAGAAACCCUUAGGUUCGAAUAGGGCCUUUGGCUGACGGUACCUCAAAAGGAAGCACCGGCUAACUCCGUGCCAGCAGCCGCAGUAA
This 515-nucleotide ribosomal RNA is filed under the name uncultured bacterium. Its description in RNAcentral is "partial 16S ribosomal RNA". It matches the Rfam family "Bacterial small subunit ribosomal RNA", at positions 30 to 523 of the family's 1533-position model. The record is from RNAcentral.